UCAGUUUUUCCUCUGUCCUGGUAAUCCUCUGCCCUGGCUGCACAUUGGAACCACCUGUCUUGAUUAAUUGGCAGUACAAGGAAGGGGGAUUCAUUGGCCACUCUGUUCUCAUUGGAAUUACUUAAAUCAAAUUUAAAGCCUAGAAAAGAGAACACCGAUGUCUGUGUUCCACUCUAAACCAAUUAAAUUAGAAUCGCUGGAGUUGAAGCUCAGGUGAUCCUGGUUUCAAAAUUCUCUAGGUGAUUCUGGUAAGUAAUCAGCACUAAGAACUGCUGCUCUAUCCUGUGGAUCCUUUAUAUUGAAGUUAGACUCAGGCUAUACAUUUUUUGUCUGGAAUACUUUGCAUAUUGCAAUCACCUUGGAAGCUUUAAAAAAUACUGAUACAUGGGGGUCCACCCCAGAUAUCCUGAUAUAGUUGGUCUGGCGGCAUGGCCUAGGCUUUGGGAGUUUUGAAAUCUGCUCAGGUGAUUUUAAUGCAGCCAGGAAGACCCACUGCUUUAGAUUAUUUUCUUGUUUAAUUUGCAUCCUAUCAGGAGGCACACAAUGUCACACUAUUCCAUUAUUUGUGAUGCCAGUUUCAAUCACUGGCUUAAGGUGGUCACAUCAGACCUCUGCAUCACCUCUUCAUCGCAAAUGUACUAGUGCUCCUGUUCCCAGAGAGUAUGGCUGAGUGCAGCCCUAAGUCUGCAGCCCUUGCUGCGGUGCCACUACGCCGCAUCCAACUCUGGUUACCAUUGGACCUGUGGGGGCCCUGCUCAGUGAUUGGUCGACGCUGCAAUGGGCCCCACCCACAAGCAACCAACUGUCAAAGAGAGACCUUUUAGUGGUCCUGCUCAAUCAUUGGUCAGCACAGCAGUGAGCCCCGCCCACAAGCAACCAGCUGUCAAGGAGGGACUGUUAGUUGAGAGGAUUCAGCCAACCGAAUCAGGCAGUGGAGUGGUGGUCGUCAGGCAGAGAGUGAGGCUUCAGCAAUACGUGAACCGUGAACUUCGAUAUGUUCAAGCUGGUUUUAGAAAAGGCAGAGGAACUAGAGAUCAAAUUGCCAACAUCCGCUGGAUCAUUAAAAAAGGAAGAGAGUUCCAGGAAUACAUCUAUUUCUGCUUUAUUGACUAUGCCAAAGCCUUUGACUGUGUGGAUCACAAUCAACUGUGGAAAAUUCUGAAAGAGAUGGGAAUACCAGACCACCUGACCUGCCUCUUGAGAAACCUAUAUGCAGGUCAGGAAGCAAC
Molecule: long non-coding RNA, 1229 nt
Organism: Bos taurus (domestic cattle)
Lineage: Eukaryota; Metazoa; Chordata; Mammalia; Artiodactyla; Bovidae
Source: Ensembl